This 480-nucleotide ribosomal RNA is filed under the name Brettanomyces bruxellensis. RNAcentral describes it as "partial large subunit ribosomal RNA". It matches the Rfam family "Eukaryotic large subunit ribosomal RNA", at positions 137 to 620 of the family's 3401-position model. The record is from RNAcentral. Lineage: Eukaryota; Fungi; Ascomycota; Pichiomycetes; Pichiales; Pichiaceae.
ACCGAGUUGUAAUUUGGAGACGGGACACUAGAGAGGAGGAAGGCGAUUAAGUGCCUUGGAACAGGCUGCCGUAGAGGGUGAGAGCCCCGUGAAUCGCUGGAGACCGAUCAAUUAGUGCCCGCCGAAGAGUCGAGUUGUUUGGGAAUGCAGCUCUAAGUGGGUGGUAUAUUCCAUCUAAGGCUAAAUAUUAGCGAGAGACCGAUAGCAAACAAGUACAGUGAUGGAAAGAUGAAAAGAACUUUGGAAAGAGAGUGAAAUAGUACGUGAAAUUGUUGAAAGGGAAGGGUAUUUGAUCCGACAUGGUGUUUAGCAGCGGCCCGUUCCUCGUGGAUGGGUGCACCUGGUUUACACUGGGCCAGCAUCGGUUCUGGGAGCCAUAUACGGGGUUCGUGAAUGUGGCCCUUCGAUUCUGUCGGAGGGUGUUAUAGCGCGGACAUCUUGUGGCUAGCCGGGACCGGGGACUGCGGUGACUUGUCACCA